Molecule: ribosomal RNA, 465 nt
Filed under: Vreelandella stevensii
Lineage: Bacteria; Pseudomonadati; Pseudomonadota; Gammaproteobacteria; Oceanospirillales; Halomonadaceae
Description: partial 16S ribosomal RNA
Rfam family: Bacterial small subunit ribosomal RNA
Source: RNAcentral
CCUACGGGUGGCUGCAGUGGGGAAUAUUGGACAAUGGGGGGAACCCUGAUCCAGCCAUGCUGCGUGUGUGAAGAAGGCCCUCGGGUUGUAAAGCACUUUCAGUGAGGAAGAACGCCUGGUGGUUAAUACCCAUCAGGAAAGACAUCACUCACAGAAGAAGCACCGGCUAACUCCGUGCCAGCAGCCGCGGUAAUACGGAGGGUGCGAGCGUUAAUCGGAAUUACUGGGCGUAAAGCGCGCGUAGGUGGCUUGAUAAGCCGGUUGUGAAAGCCCCGGGCGCAACCUGGGAACGGCAUCCGGAACUGUCAAGCUAGAGUGCAGGAGAGGAAGGUAGAAUUCCCGGUGUAGCGGUGAAAUGCGUAGAGAUCGGGAGGAAUACCAGUGGCGAAGGCGGCCUUCUGGACUGACACUGACACUGAGGUGCGAAAGCGUGGGUAGCAAACAGGAUUAGAUACCCCAGUAGUC